GGACGUGGGAGAGACCUGGCUGUGGCAUGUGACCUCACUGAUGGCCAGGGUGGAUCGGCUGACCUGGCGGGAGAGGUGGGUGUCUCCUUCCUCCCUUGUGGCUCUGUGUGUGUCCCUCCUGAAGCCAUGUUCUCUGUCAAAGAGGAGGGCCUUCCCCACAGAAGAGGGCCAGGAUCCACGCGAGCAUGUGAACAGCUGAGUUCCCUCAUAGAACCCAGGGAGCUGGCCCUGUGGACACAGCAGCCACAGCCCCUGGACGUUUCUCAGUUCCCAGAUGGGUCAUUUCA
Molecule: small nuclear RNA, 287 nt
Filed under: Peromyscus maniculatus bairdii (prairie deer mouse)
Lineage: Eukaryota; Metazoa; Chordata; Mammalia; Rodentia; Cricetidae
Description: 7SK RNA (ENSPEMG00000001981.2)
Rfam family: 7SK RNA
About the family: 7SK was discovered as an abundant small nuclear RNA in the mid-70s but a possible function has only recently been suggested. Two independent studies have found that 7SK RNA binds the CDK9/cyclin T complex (known as elongation factor P-TEFb).
Source: RNAcentral